UACGAAGGGUGCAAGCGUUACUCGGAAUUACUGGGCGUAAAGCGUGCGUAGGCGGUUUGUUAAGUCUGCUGUGAAAGCCCCGGGCUCGACCUGGGAACUGCAUUUGUGACUGCAAGGCUGGAGUGCGGCAGAGGGGGAUGGAAUUCCGCGUGUAGCAGUGAAAUGCGUAGAUAUGCGGAGGAACACCGAUGGCGAAGGCAAUCCCCUGGGCCUGCACUGACGCUCAUGCACGAAAGCGUGGGGAGCAAACAGG
RNAcentral lists this ribosomal RNA (253 nucleotides) under uncultured bacterium. RNAcentral describes it as "partial 16S ribosomal RNA". It matches the Rfam family "Bacterial small subunit ribosomal RNA", at positions 524 to 776 of the family's 1533-position model. The record is from RNAcentral.